UACGUAGGCAGCAAGCGUUGUUCGGAAUUACUGGGCGUAAAGAGUUCGUAGGCGGUGCGGCAAGUUCGGUGUGAAAUCUCCCGGCUCAACUGGGAGGGUGCGCUAAAUACUGCCGUGCUCGAGUAUAGGAGAGGUAAGCGGAAUUCCUGGUGUAGCGGUGAAAUGCGUAGAUAUCAGGAGGAACACCUGUGGUGUAGACGGCUUACUGGACUAUAACUGACGCUGAGGAACGAAAGCGUGGGGAUCAAACAGG
RNAcentral lists this ribosomal RNA (253 nucleotides) under uncultured bacterium. RNAcentral's name for it is "partial 16S ribosomal RNA". It matches the Rfam family "Bacterial small subunit ribosomal RNA", at positions 524 to 776 of the family's 1533-position model. The record is from RNAcentral.